This 110-nucleotide small nucleolar RNA is filed under the name Castor canadensis (American beaver). Its description in RNAcentral is "Small nucleolar RNA SNORA31 (ENSCCNG00000010358.1)". It matches the Rfam family "Small nucleolar RNA SNORA31". From Rfam's summary of the family: ACA31 (SNORA31) belongs to the H/ACA class of snoRNAs which are thought to guide the sites of modification of uridines to pseudouridines. ACA31 is predicted to guide the pseudouridylation of U3713 in 28S rRNA and U218 in 18S rRNA. Lineage: Eukaryota; Metazoa; Chordata; Mammalia; Rodentia; Castoridae. The record is from Rfam by way of RNAcentral.
AUACACCCACCAAAAUGCCAGGACAUUUGGUUUGCACUAGGACGCAAAAGAACAUAAUCUCCAAGCUUUCUAUCUUUGUGGCAGCCCAGAAUGAAUUGGGGAACACAUCA